CCUACGGGUGGCAGCAGUGAGGAAUAUUGGUCAAUGGGAGGAAUCCUGAACCAGCCAUGCCGCGUGCAGGACGACGGCUCUACGAGUUGUAAACUGCUUUUGUACCGGGGUAAAAUGCUCUACGAGUAGGGUUUUGAAAGUACGGUACGAAUAAGGAUCGGCUAACUCCGUGCCAGCAGCCGCGGUAAUACGGAGGAUCCGAGCGUUAACCGGAUUUAUUGGGUUUAAAGGGUGCGUAGGUUGUAUUAUAAGUUAGCGGUGAAAUACCGAUGCUCAACAUCGGGGCUGCCGCUGAUACUGUAGGACUAGAGAUCGGAUGCAGCAGGCGGAAUGUGUAGUGUAGCGGUGAAAUGCAUAGAUAUUACACAGAACACCGAUUGCGAAGGCAGCUUGCUAGGCCGGAUCUGACACUGAUGCACGAAAGCGUGGGGAUCGAACAGGAUUAGAUACCCCUGUAGUC
This 460-nucleotide ribosomal RNA is filed under the name uncultured bacterium. RNAcentral describes it as "partial 16S ribosomal RNA". It matches the Rfam family "Bacterial small subunit ribosomal RNA", at positions 338 to 795 of the family's 1533-position model. The record is from RNAcentral.